RNAcentral lists this ribosomal RNA (274 nucleotides) under uncultured bacterium. Its description in RNAcentral is "partial 16S ribosomal RNA". It matches the Rfam family "Bacterial small subunit ribosomal RNA", at positions 523 to 796 of the family's 1533-position model. The record is from RNAcentral.
AUACGGGGGGUGCAAGCGUUAAUCGGAAUUACUGGGCGUAAAGCGCGCGUAGGCGGUUUGCACAGUCGGAUGUGAAAGCCCAGGGCUCAACCUUGGAACUGCAUACGAUACUGGCAAACUAGAGUGUGAGAGAGGAUAGUGGAAUUUCCGGUGUAGCGGUGAAAUGCGUAGAUAUCGGAAGGAACAUCAGUGGCGAAGGCGACUGUCUGGCUCAACACUGACGCUGAGGUGCGAAAGCGUGGGUAGCAAACAGGAUUAGAAACCCUAGUAGUCC